Molecule: ribosomal RNA, 467 nt
Filed under: uncultured bacterium
Lineage: Bacteria
Description: partial 16S ribosomal RNA
Rfam family: Bacterial small subunit ribosomal RNA
Source: RNAcentral
GACGAACGCUGGCGGCGUGCUUAACACAUGCAAGUCGAACGGAAAGGCCCUGCUUUUGUGGGGUGCUCGAGUGGCGAACGGGUGAGUAACACGUGAGUAACCUGCCCUUGACUUUGGGAUAACUUCAGGAAACUGGGGCUAAUACCGGAUAGGAGCUCCUGCUGCAUGGUGGGGGUUGGAAAGUUUCGGCGGUUGGCGAUGGACUCGCGGCUUAUCAGCUUGUUGGUGGGGUAGUGGCUUACCAAGGCUUUGACGGGUAGCCGGCCUGAGAGGGUGACCGGCCACAUUGGGACUGAGAUACGGCCCAGACUCCUACGGGAGGCAGCAGUGGGGAAUAUUGCACAAUGGGCGGAAGCCUGAUGCAGCAACGCCGCGUGCGGGAUGACGGCCUUCGGGUGGUAAACCGCUUUCGCCUGUGACGAAGCGUGAGUGACGGUAAUGGGGAAAGAAGCACCGGCUAACUACGU